This 500-nucleotide ribosomal RNA is filed under the name uncultured bacterium. RNAcentral describes it as "bacterial SSU rRNA". It matches the Rfam family "Bacterial small subunit ribosomal RNA", at positions 1011 to 1512 of the family's 1533-position model. The record is from RNAcentral.
GCUUUCUCGCAAGAGACUGCUGCGUAGGUGCUGCAUGGCUGUCGUCAGCUCGUGUCGUGAGAUGUUGGGUUAAGUCCCGCAACGAGCGCAACCCUUAUUGCCAGUUGCCAUCAUUUAGUUGGGCACUCUGGCGAAACUGCCCCGGAUAACGGGGAGGAAGGUGGGGAUGACGUCAAGUCCUCAUGGCCUUUAUGUCCAGGGCUACACACGUGCUACAAUGGCAGGUACAAACCGUCGCAAACCCGUGAGGGGGAGCUAAUCGGAAAAAGCCUGCCUCAGUUCGGAUUGUAGUCUGCAACUCGACUACAUGAAGCUGGAAUCGCUAGUAAUCGCAGAUCAGAACGCUGCGGUGAAUACGUUCCCGGGCCUUGUACACACCGCCCGUCACAUCACGAAAGUGGGUUGUACUAGAAGUCGGUGCGCUAACCGCAAGGGAGCAGCCGCCCAAGGUGUAACUCAUGAUUGGGGUGAAGUCGUAACAAGGUAGCCGUAGGAGAACC